This is a long non-coding RNA of Oncorhynchus tshawytscha (Chinook salmon), 250 nucleotides long. The record is from Ensembl. Lineage: Eukaryota; Metazoa; Chordata; Actinopteri; Salmoniformes; Salmonidae.
GGAGAAUCCAUGUCGCCUGGUUCCAUGGUUGGAAGCCAUGAUAGAGAUAUGAUGACCUUGCAUCACAAUGUCCAUUCCACAAAGGUAGUAGUAGCUAGCCUGCAGCGGUGGACCAGUGCCAGGAAUGGCCCUCCAAGAUUGACUAUUUGGGAUUGAAAGGUGGCUGUGAUGUGAAAGAGUGCGUGGAGGAUCAUGGCACACAUAAUCUUCCAUGAUCUUUCAAAGACCAUGAACUGGAGGGGAAUCAAUG